AGCAGCCGCGGUAAUUCCAGCUCCAAUAGCGUAUAUUAAAGUUGUUGCAGUUAAAAAGCUCGUAGUUGAAUUUCGGGAUUAGCAAGUUGGUCGUGCCUUCGGUAUGCACUGGCUUUGCUGAUUCCUCCUUCUUGAAGAACUGUAAUGCUAUUAAUUUAGUGUUGCAGGGAAACAGGACUGUUACUUUGAAAAAUUAGAGUGUUUAAAGCAGGCUAACGCUUGAAUACAUUAGCAUGGAAUAAUGAAAUAGGACGUUUGAUCCUAUUUUGUUGGUUUCUAGGAUUGACGUAAUGAUUAAUAGGGAUAGUUGGGGGCAUUAGUAUUCAAUUGUCAGAGGUGAAAUUCUUGGAUUUAUUGAAGACUAACUACUGCGAAAGCAUUUGCCAAGGAUGUUUUCAUUAAUCAAGAACGAA
This 413-nucleotide ribosomal RNA is filed under the name uncultured Glomus. Its description in RNAcentral is "SSU rRNA". It matches the Rfam family "Eukaryotic small subunit ribosomal RNA", at positions 569 to 987 of the family's 1831-position model. The record is from RNAcentral. Lineage: Eukaryota; Fungi; Glomeromycota; Glomeromycetes; Glomerales; Glomeraceae.